CCUACGGGGGGCUGCAGUGAGGAAUAUUGGUCAAUGGACGAGAGUCUGAACCAGCCAAGUAGCGUGAAGGAUGACUGCCCUAGGGGUUGUAAACUUCUUUUAUAUGGGAAUAAAAUGUUCCACGUGUGGGCUUUUGUAUGUACCAUAUGAAUAAGAAUCGGCUAACUCCGUGCCAGCAGCCGCGGUAAUACGGAGGAUCCGAGCGUUAUCCGGAUUUAUUGGGUUUAAAGGGAGCGUAGGUGGAUUGUUAAGUCAGUUGUGAAAGUUUGCGGCUCAACCGUAAAAUUGCAGUUGAAACUGGCAGUCUUGAGUACAGUAGAGGUGGGCGGAAUUCGUGGUGUAGCGGUGAAAUGCUUAGAUAUCACGAAGAACUCCGAUUGCGAAGGCAGCUCACUGGACUGCAACUGACACUGAGGCUCGAAAGUGUGGGUAUCAAACAGGAUUAGAUACCCUGGUAGUC
RNAcentral lists this ribosomal RNA (460 nucleotides) under uncultured bacterium. Its description in RNAcentral is "partial 16S ribosomal RNA". It matches the Rfam family "Bacterial small subunit ribosomal RNA", at positions 338 to 795 of the family's 1533-position model. The record is from RNAcentral.